CGCCAGCCCAGUGGAAAUCCAUGUGCUGCUUGUUUCUUCAAUUUCUUGUGCCUGAACCAAUGACGAUGACGGUUUCAGGAAAAGAAGAAGAUAGAAAGUCCUUCCAAGCCAUGACUGAGAUUUCUCAGGGACUUUAUUUGCUGGAUCUUCUACCGUCAUCAACUUUUUCUACUUCUUCAUGAAAAAGUAGUUCAUAAAUAAGAAGUGGGGAAGACCAUGCAUUAUACUACAGAGUUACAAAGGUCUUUAUAUAUUGAAGAAAAGGCAGAUAUAAGCACACUGACAAGUAAGACUUUGGAUGGAGUGGUGAGACCAGGAGCACCACGGGCUACUUCUCGAGAAG
This is a long non-coding RNA of Leopardus geoffroyi (Geoffroy's cat), 343 nucleotides long. RefSeq lists it as uncharacterized. NCBI's taxonomy places the organism in Eukaryota, Metazoa, Chordata, Mammalia, Carnivora, Felidae. The record is from RefSeq and is a predicted model, not a curated record. The transcript is spliced from 3 exons.